Antechinus flavipes (yellow-footed antechinus) is the source of this 1321-nucleotide long non-coding RNA. RefSeq lists it as uncharacterized. The transcript is spliced from 2 exons. NCBI's taxonomy places the organism in Eukaryota, Metazoa, Chordata, Mammalia, Dasyuromorphia, Dasyuridae. The record is from RefSeq and is a predicted model, not a curated record.
UCCAAUUCACAAAGGAGUCAAGACAUCAUUCCUCAAUCUCUUUGGUCCUCAUUGGGGAAAAAUAAAAGAGAAACAACAUCAAGAACAUAUUAUGGGCAAGGUGAAGCUUUCCUUUCGCCUCCCUCCUCCAUCUCCACCUUGCCCACCACCACCCACUUCAGUCUGUCAUUUCUGAGAGCAUGACAAAAACAACAGGUCAGUUUCAUUUAAUUAUACUUUAUACAAAUAAAUCUGACUGUGUUUAAAUGGAAAUGCUUUCUCUAGCUUCAGCUCCUUCCCUUUCCAUCUUCCAUCUUCUCUCCCCACAGAACACAUCAGCAUCUCAGAUGGAGAUCUGGUGUGAGGAGCCUGAGUCCCUCUUUAAAAAAAAAAAAAAAAAGAAUAAUGACCCAUUCUAAUUUUUGGUUUAUACUUAGAUUCUGCCUCUGUUUCAGACCUUUCCUCAUUUAAGUCCAUCAUUGUUAAUGCGGUACAAGAACUUUUGUGCAGACAGAAAAUAUAUAGUCCCAAACCCCUGCAUCCUUGGGGAAGCUGAGCAUAUUUAUGAAACAAGACAUAAUUUCUCUACUAGACCUCCCCAUAGAGUUGUCCAGAAAUGUGGUAGAACUAUCUAAUAAACGCCCAAUUUGUUCAGUGAAAAUGUAGCAUUUUAUUGAUAGGAACUGGUGCCACCUGGUAUUUAAAGAUGCCUUCCCUUCUACUUUUCUUCUUCCUCCUCCUCUGGGCUAAAUCAUCUAACCCACCACCUCAGCCAGCUAUGACUUGGAAAAGGUUCUGCCUCUGCCCUUCACCCUUGGAAACAUAAAUAGUCCUGGCGGUCCAACCUGUGUGUGUGUUUCCUUAAGUGUAUGUACAUGCAUAUGUGCUUAUGCAAGUUACUUUUAAUAAGCCAUCUAAUAUCUUUGGUUACAGCUAAGGAUUACAGAAAUAGCUUCAACUAAAAUGGCCAGCAGAGGAGGAAUAAGGUGUACCCUAACAAGUGCAGAGAAAAGAGGCUCUCAGUUUCCUUCAGUCUCAGCUCACUGAUUGACUCACCAUCAGGGCCCACACAGCUCCUGCUGAGAAAAGCUGUGACAACUGAGAGGGCGGAGGAGAGAGAGAAGAAGUAGAGAGCAAAGGGGAGGGGAGAGAAGAAGAAGAGAAAUGAAGGAAAAGGAUAGGAGAAAAAGAGAAGGAAAGAGAGAAAAGUAAAGGAAGAAAGUGGUAGAGAGCAGAGAAGGGGAAAUGAGGGGAGAUGAAGGAAAAGAGGAGAGAAGAGGAGGGGAGAGAAAGAAAGAGGAGGAGGAGAAAAAAGAGAGGGGAAGAGAAGAGAGAAGAAAGA